GACGAGGUGGCCGAGAGGUUAGGCGAUGGACUGCUAAUUCAUUGGGCUCUGCCCGCGUGGGUUCGAAUCCCAUCCUCGUCG
Molecule: transfer RNA, 81 nt
Filed under: Rhipicephalus microplus (southern cattle tick)
Lineage: Eukaryota; Metazoa; Arthropoda; Arachnida; Ixodida; Ixodidae
Description: tRNA-Ser
Rfam family: tRNA
About the family: Transfer RNA (tRNA) molecules are approximately 80 nucleotides in length. Their secondary structure includes four short double-helical elements and three loops (D, anti-codon, and T loops).
Source: Rfam by way of RNAcentral